Molecule: long non-coding RNA, 639 nt
Filed under: Heterocephalus glaber (naked mole-rat)
Lineage: Eukaryota; Metazoa; Chordata; Mammalia; Rodentia; Bathyergidae
Description: lncRNA (ENSHGLG00100048204.1)
Source: RNAcentral
GUCGCCGCGCCUGGGCCCGGGGACGCCACAGAAAGGGAGUGGUGGUGCGGCCUUCUCUGUGGGAGCAAGGACCGCACCUGCCGAGGGAGGACUGGAGCUGGGCGCUGAGGUACCAAGGAGUCCUGGGACCUUCGAGGGGUGGCGUGAUGAAAGCAGAAGCGCGUUGGGGCUGUGGCCUCUCGUCUGCAGGGACUGCCGUGGGAUCCGGCGGCCAUGACAUGAGAAGAUACCCUGGAAGCUUCAGCAGCCCACUCUGGCCCGGCGGCCACCGUAUGCGGGCGGCUCCCACCCUCUUCUCCGUCCUCUGAACUUGUAGCUACACAGCAGCGUCUCCCCAGCGUCUCCCAAGCGUCUCCGCUCCCAAGUCUUACGGCUCAAGUUCGGCACAAGCAGACCUGCUGAACCUGCCUCAGCCUUGCCCAGCUGCUGAACAGCUCCCAGGAGUCGAGACUGUGGGUCCCUCCCAGCAGCUGGUGGAGAACAGCUCAGCCCAGACUCAGCCGUUUUCAAACAGAUUCCCAUUUUCAGACCAGGACAGUAAGGCCACAGGAGGCCCACCUUGGUUUUCAGAAAGGUUGCUCAUCAACUAUGCUGUUGCUUUCUCUUACAACUUGGGAUUCUAUCAGUUUCCAAACUGUG